AGGCAGGAGGCAUAAUGACACAGAGACCACCCUCCGAAGCAGCCACUUCCUCCAGGGAACUAAUCUGUGGAGUUUGGAGAUCAGCUGACAUUCCGGGAGAUCUCCAAGAGGCCUUUCUUUGCUGAACUCAUUUCUUGGAUAAGAGGAUGGUCCCAUACUAUCUAUUUGGAUUGGAGCUGACUUCUUCUGGUGUUGUCCCUCUUCGUCUGUUGGCUGAAUUCAUUCCCUAAGAUCUGCUCUUCAGAUUGGUGGCUUGGAACUCAGGAACCACACAGUACACUUCAGAUUCUGCAAGAAGGCAGCACUUCCAGGAGAGUGGCUACAGGACAACUGUGGACAUUGUCUGAGAGCUGCUCCCUUAGGGGAAUGUGAGUAAGGCUUUGGAUUGAUGGGCCAUCUUUCAUCCUGGGACUCUGGACUUUUUUUGGAGGGGGGGAGUUCCAUAUCCAGUGUUACAAGUUCUGUUUAUCUGUUACAAUAAAUAUAGUUUUGCUUAUA
Eublepharis macularius is the source of this 498-nucleotide long non-coding RNA. RefSeq lists it as uncharacterized. The transcript is spliced from 2 exons. The record is from RefSeq and is a predicted model, not a curated record. NCBI's taxonomy places the organism in Eukaryota, Metazoa, Chordata, Lepidosauria, Squamata, Eublepharidae.